Molecule: ribosomal RNA, 254 nt
Filed under: uncultured bacterium
Lineage: Bacteria
Description: partial 16S ribosomal RNA
Rfam family: Bacterial small subunit ribosomal RNA
Source: RNAcentral
UACGUAGGGGGCUAGCGUUGUCCGGAAUUAUUGGGCGUAAAGAGCUCGUAGGCGGUGUGUCGCGUCGGCCGUGAAAACCUGGGGCUUAACUCUGGGCGUGCGGUCGAUACGGGCAUCACUAGAGUUCGGCAGGGGAGACUGGAAUUCCUGGUGUAGCGGUGAAAUGCGCAGAUAUCAGGAGGAACACCGGUGGCGAAGGCGGGUCUCUGGGCCGAUACUGACGCUGAGGAGCGAAAGCGUGGGGAGCGAACAGG